AUUGAACGCUGGCGGAAUGCUUUACACAUGCAAGUCGAACGGCAGCACGGACUUCGGUCUGGUGGCGAGUGGCGAACGGGUGAGUAAUGUAUCGGAACGUGCCCAGACGUGGGGGAUAACGUAGUGAAAAUUACGCUAAUACCUCAUACGAACUAUGGAUGAAAGCGGGGGAUCGCAAGACCUCGCCCGGUUGGAGCGGCCGAUAUCAGAUUAGGUAGUUGGUGGGGUAAAGGCCCGCCAAGCCAACGAUCUGUAGCUGGUCUGAGAGGACGACCAGCCACACUGGAACUGAGACACGGUCCAGACUCCUACGGGAGGCAGCAGUGGGGAAUUUUGGACAAUGGGCGAAAGCCUGAUCCAGCCAUUCCGCGUGCAGGAUGAAGGCCCUCGGGUUGUAAACUGCUUUUGUACAGAACGAAAAGGUUUCUACUAAUACUAGGAGCUCAUGACGGUACUGUAAGAAUAAGCACCGGCUAACUACGUGCCAGCCGCCGCCGUAA
RNAcentral lists this ribosomal RNA (500 nucleotides) under uncultured bacterium. RNAcentral's name for it is "partial 16S ribosomal RNA". It matches the Rfam family "Bacterial small subunit ribosomal RNA", at positions 30 to 523 of the family's 1533-position model. The record is from RNAcentral.